CUUUGGUCUUAUUUUGUUGGUUUCUAGGACCGAAGUAAUGAUUAAUAGGGACAGUUGGGGGCAUCAGUAUUUAAUUGUCAGAGGUGAAAUUCUUGGAUUUAUGAAAGACUAACUUCUGCGAAAGCACUUGCCAAGGAUGUUUUCAUUAAUCAAGAACGAAAGAUAGGGGAUCGAAGACGAUCAGAUACCGUCGUAGUCCUAUCCAUAAACUAUGCCGACUAGGGAUCAGUGGAUGUAUUUCAAGACUCCAUUGGCACCUUAUGAGAAAUCAAAGUUUUUGGGUUCUGGGGGGUGUAUGGUCGCAAGGCUGAAACUUAAAGGAAUUGACGGAAGACUACCACCAGGAGUGGAGCCUGCGGCUUAAUUUGACUCAACACGGGGAAACUCACCAGGUCCAGA
This 399-nucleotide ribosomal RNA is filed under the name uncultured fungus. RNAcentral describes it as "SSU rRNA". It matches the Rfam family "Eukaryotic small subunit ribosomal RNA", at positions 828 to 1228 of the family's 1831-position model. The record is from RNAcentral. Lineage: Eukaryota; Fungi.